This is a small nucleolar RNA of Rhododendron vialii, 112 nucleotides long. RefSeq annotates it as small nucleolar RNA snoR100. The record is from RefSeq and is a predicted model, not a curated record. NCBI's taxonomy places the organism in Eukaryota, Viridiplantae, Streptophyta, Magnoliopsida, Ericales, Ericaceae. The transcript has a single exon.
CAAUGAAGGAAGCAUGGUAAUGUGCACAUAAAUAAAUUGAAUUGGGUCUCUAGGCCUGCCUUCUCUGAUGCCAUUCGGCUUUGAUUUGGAGGCAUGGUUCCGCAGCAAAACA